AUACGGAGGAUCCGAGCGUUAUCCGGAUUUAUUGGGUUUAAAGGGUGCGCAGGCGGCCAUUUAAGUCAGCGGUUAAAUCGUGGGGCUCAACCCCAUUCUGCCGUUGAUACUGGGUGGCUUGAUUGCGGUCGAGGUUGGCGGAAUUCGUUGUGUAGCGGUGAAAUGCAUAGAUAUGACGAAGAACACCGAUUGCCUAGGCAGCUGACCAGACCGUAAAUGACGCUCAUGCACGAAAGUGCGGGGAUCGGAAAGGAUUAGAUACCUUGGUAGUCCGCACAGUAAACGAUGAAUACUUGUUUUCGGCGAUAUAAUGUCGGAGGCAAAGCCAAAGCGAUAAGUAUUCAACCUGGGGAGUACGCCGGCAACGGUGAAACUCAAAGGAAUUGACGGGG
Molecule: ribosomal RNA, 392 nt
Filed under: uncultured bacterium
Lineage: Bacteria
Description: partial 16S ribosomal RNA
Rfam family: Bacterial small subunit ribosomal RNA
Source: RNAcentral